UACAGAGGGUGCGAGCGUUAAUCGGAAUUACUGGGCGUAAAGCGCGCGUAGGCGGCUUUGCAAGUCGGGUGUGAAAUCCCCAGGCUUAACCUGGGAACUGCAUUCGAGACUGCAUUGCUAGAGUAUGGGAGAGGGAAGUGGAAUUUCCGGUGUAGCGGUGAAAUGCGUAGAUAUCAGGAGGAACACCGGUGGCGAAGGCGGUUCUCUGGGCCUUACCUGACGCUGAGGAGCGAAAGCGUGGGGAGCGAACAGG
RNAcentral lists this ribosomal RNA (253 nucleotides) under uncultured bacterium. RNAcentral's name for it is "partial 16S ribosomal RNA". It matches the Rfam family "Bacterial small subunit ribosomal RNA", at positions 524 to 776 of the family's 1533-position model. The record is from RNAcentral.